AGGCUACGUUAAAUUGUGUCAUAGAAUGUGAGAACUUUCAUGAUAAUGUGUAGAAGGUCAAGAUAACUUGGUACAAUCGAACGUGGCUGAUCUUUAAUAAAUAUACCUGAAUUUUAUAAGGGUUCUGUUACCGGUAAUUAAGAGGAAUCAUGUAUGUGAUAAACCUAAAUAUCCUUGCCCCCACUGCUGGAAAGAAUUUGGGAAACGAAAAUACCUAAGUCAACAUUUAAAAAUGCAUAUUCCAGAUUCAUUUAUGUGCCCACACUGUUGUCAUACCUUUCGGUGGAAGUAUCGUUUAAAACAGCAUUUAGAAGUUUGCAACAGACAGGGUUAAAAAAAUGCAGCUUGUGCCUUAGAUAUUAAUAGAAAAAUAUAACAAGAAAAUGCUGUUUUUUCAUUCAUAUUUUGAGACUUGCAAUAACACUAGAUUUUUUAAAACAGUUAUAAAAGUAAUAAUCAAUAUUUGAAGAAUCUGACAAAGCAAAAAUGUAUUGACUGGGUGCUUUGCAAGGUAGAAAAAGUUGGAGUUGCUCACUGGAUUCAGCAUUAUUUUGUACCUUUGUAGAAAAACAUCAUCUGACACUGUUAUAUUAUUAAAAAAAUUAAAUGGGUUUGAGGUAUUUGUAAUCAUACUACAUUCUGAUUUUGAUAUUUUUCUUCUUUAAUAAGCUUUUGUUUAAAAUUGUACAUGUCUUUAUAAAUGUAUUUUUAUGCUAAAUUUCAUAUUGUCUUUUGUCUACUUUGUGUAUUCUACAUUAUAAUGAAAUUAAAUAAUAUUAAUACUCAAUUCAAAUAAAUGCUAUUUAUCAUAUGA
RNAcentral lists this long non-coding RNA (814 nucleotides) under Stegodyphus dumicola. RNAcentral's name for it is "uncharacterized LOC118185061, transcript variant X1". Lineage: Eukaryota; Metazoa; Arthropoda; Arachnida; Araneae; Eresidae. The record is from RNAcentral.